Long non-coding RNA from Perca flavescens (yellow perch), 1099 nucleotides. RefSeq lists it as uncharacterized. Lineage: Eukaryota; Metazoa; Chordata; Actinopteri; Perciformes; Percidae. The record is from RefSeq and is a predicted model, not a curated record. The transcript has 5 exons.
UAUUUACCCUCCAAACUGUCAUUAUUCAACUAUGACAAGGUAAAAUUGGUUUUGCAUUCUAUCACUCCUUUAAACAGUAUUUAAACAUCUUGACUUGGUGAAACCCUGGUGAAGCAUCAACCCUUGUACCCUACAGCAUUUCAGCCCAUGGUUUUAGUUAUUUAAAGAUUGAUUGAUUGAUUUUGUAAUAACCCAAACUCUUUCUAUCUGAAUAAACUAAAGAAAUGAACUUUUUGUAGUUUUCUUUUAGGGAACAAUGGGCUUUUAGCAGUUUUAAACAACCCUGAGUUUAGAUCCGAUAUGCAGAAGAGGAGUCAGUGUAACUGAGUCAAGCUCUUAUUUUAAACCUUUUGAAGGUGGCACAGCCUGUUUUUAUGUUGUGUUGUCAAUCACUAGAGAAACAGGUGCCACUGUGGGCAACCCAAAUCCUCUUUAAACCAUCCGCCAAAAUCAGAUUGUUAAAACCCAGUUUCUAUCUGAAUCACACGCAUUAUCACUUGGAAAACGGUUACUGGAUGCUUUGGGCCUUUAAAAAGCAGAGAGCGCCGGAGGAUCCGCUCCGGCAGGCGCAGACGUUGGGCCGGACGCACCGGCUGCCGUAGAGACACUUCUGUUCACAGUGAGCUGAGACACAAACACAGAAACCAAGUCCUGGGAGUGUUGAAUGUGUUUUGUGUGGACCUCAGGAAGAGUAAUAAAAUCCAGUCCAAUACUCACGGAUGUGACACAGCGAGCCGCGCCAUCCCGCGGCGCAGCGGCAGGUGUUGGCUCCCACGCACUCGCCUCCGUUGAGACACGUCUGCAGACAGCUGGCUGGAGGGCGACACAACACUCCACACGUCAGGACACUGUCCCACCCAAGAACAAGCUGACUAUAAAAGGACAGGAGCACACGUUGUUUCUUAUACACCGGCCGCUGUUCUUACAGGGAGGACUGCAGAACGCUGGAGGACAAACAACGAAGAACAAAAACCAUGAGGACACUCGCAAGUACUGGGCCGAACACACCAACCUCCGUUUAGACACACGGGCGAGCAGAGAGCUGGAGAGAGAGAGAGACAAGAGCAUCAGCAUUGAGAGGACAGUUCACACACACACA